Non-coding RNA from Heterocephalus glaber (naked mole-rat), 915 nucleotides. NCBI's taxonomy places the organism in Eukaryota, Metazoa, Chordata, Mammalia, Rodentia, Bathyergidae. The record is from RefSeq and is a predicted model, not a curated record.
GCUUAUUUAGUGAUUUUUCUUACAUAUCUCUGUAAAAUUUGUAUUUUUUCCAUACGUGGUCACUAAAAUCUUCCUUCUGGGUAAGCUCUGUGGUCUUCUACUGGUUGGAUACAGAUAUCCUUUAAUAAGGAACCCUCAAGCCUCCCAGUCAUGCUGAGAGCCUGUGUGUGUGUGGUGCUCAUUCAGUGCAUGACAGGCAGCUUACAAUAGUCCACUUCAUAGGGCCGCAGAGCCAGGCAGAUGUGCGGAUAGCCCUGCAUGAGCGUGUGGCCAGAUGCAUGGGGAUGUGUUAAAGCUUCCCAGAGCCUCAAAUGCAUUAUAUUCUGUGACUUUUUUCCUGAGUUUUAGAAAGCCUUAUGCUAGUUUCAACAGGUAAAAAUACUAUGAGCACCUAUGAUACUAAACAAUUACCACUUAUGUUUUACAAAUACAUUGAUGCAGGUCUACUUGCACAGAAGAUGUUCUGAUCAAGUCAGGUGAAGAUGAGCCUUGAGGAUGGAGCUUGUCAGCAAACUGCCAGACAGAUGUACACUGCCGGUACGAUGGUAGCAGGGUUUGUGUCGAUUGGCUCCUGCUCCCAGACAUGUGAUAUCUUGCUUCCAAGACUUGUUUCGGCUGUUAAUGGAAAUGCCUCUGUAGUUUCAAGGCUAAGUAUGAUCCUGUCUGUUGGCUUCAAGAGGUAGCCUUCAUUGUAAAGGCAGCAGAAGUCAGAAUGCAAGGCAAAUAAGUCAACAUGAAUAGGGAACUAACAGAUGUGCCAUCUCAGGAAGAAAACUGGAGACAACCCCAUAACUUGGACUUUCACCACAGUGUUGCUGCCAGUUAAACUCUGACCUGUUACUGUCCCUCCCACAAGUCUUCCUUGACUACAUCAUUAUAAAAGAUAUUCUCCAAUAAUUACUCACUAGCCCAGUA